UACGGGGGGAGCAAGCGUUGUUCGGAUUUACUGGGCGUAAAGGGCGCGUAGGCGGUCGUGACAAGUCACUUGUGAAAUCUCCGGGCUUAACUCGGAACGGCCAAGUGAAACUGUCAAGCUAGAGUGCGGAAGGGGCAAUCGGAAUUCUUGGUGUAGCGGUGAAAUGCGUAGAGAUCCGGAGGAACACCAGCGGCGAAGGCGGCAUCCUGGACUGGUCCUGACACUCAUGAGCGAAAGCGUGGGGAGCGAUCCGG
This 254-nucleotide ribosomal RNA is filed under the name uncultured bacterium. Its description in RNAcentral is "partial 16S ribosomal RNA". It matches the Rfam family "Bacterial small subunit ribosomal RNA", at positions 524 to 776 of the family's 1533-position model. The record is from RNAcentral.